GCGGUUGUAGUCCAGCCUGGUAAGACACGAAUUCCAAAAAUGUAGUGGAACCCUGCCACGGUCGGGACCCGGGUUCAAAUCCCGGCGGCCGCA
RNAcentral lists this transfer RNA (93 nucleotides) under Candidatus Aenigmatarchaeota archaeon. RNAcentral's name for it is "tRNA-Gly". It matches the Rfam family "tRNA". Rfam says of the family: Transfer RNA (tRNA) molecules are approximately 80 nucleotides in length. Lineage: Archaea; Nanobdellati; Candidatus Aenigmatarchaeota. The record is from RNAcentral.